GCCCAGACUCCUACGGGAGGCAGCAGUGGGGAAUAUUGCACAAUGGGGGAAACCCUGAUGCAGCGACGCCGCGUGAGCGAAGAAGUAUCUCGGUAUGUAAAGCUCUAUCAGCAGGGAAGAAAAUGACGGUACCUGACUAAGAAGCCCCGGCUAACUACGUGCCAGCAGCCGCGGUAAUACGUAGGGGGCAAGCGUUAUCCGGAUUUACUGGGUGUAAAGGGAGCGUAGGUGGCAGGGCAAGUCAGAUGUGAAAACCCGGGGCUCAACCCCGGGAGUGCAUUUGAAACUGUCCAGCUGGAGUGCAGGAGAGGUAAGCGGAAUUCCUAGUGUAGCGGUGAAAUGCGUAGAUAUUAGGAGGAACACCGGUGGCGAAGGCGGCUUACUGGACUGUAACUGACGUUGAGGCUCGAAAGCGUGGGGAGCAAACAGGAUUAGAUACCCCAGUAACA
This 449-nucleotide ribosomal RNA is filed under the name uncultured bacterium. RNAcentral describes it as "bacterial SSU rRNA". It matches the Rfam family "Bacterial small subunit ribosomal RNA", at positions 329 to 795 of the family's 1533-position model. The record is from RNAcentral.